GGAAAGAUGGCAGAGUGGUCGAUUGCACCGGUCUUGAAAACCGGCGACUGUAACAGGUCCGGGGGUUCGAAUCCCUCUCUUUCCG
RNAcentral lists this transfer RNA (85 nucleotides) under Bacteroidales bacterium. Its description in RNAcentral is "tRNA-Ser". It matches the Rfam family "tRNA". Rfam says of the family: Transfer RNA (tRNA) molecules are approximately 80 nucleotides in length. Their secondary structure includes four short double-helical elements and three loops (D, anti-codon, and T loops). The record is from RNAcentral. Lineage: Bacteria; Pseudomonadati; Bacteroidota; Bacteroidia; Bacteroidales.